RNAcentral lists this long non-coding RNA (219 nucleotides) under Nicotiana benthamiana. Its description in RNAcentral is "long non-coding RNA (NBEN_LNC010608)". The record is from RNAcentral. Lineage: Eukaryota; Viridiplantae; Streptophyta; Magnoliopsida; Solanales; Solanaceae.
UCUUUGUUCAAAAAGAAACCCUAAUUUUCGACGAAUCCGGUAUCAAGCAAAAACCAUGAAUCUCAAAGAUGCCAUGCUGCCGUCGAUCGGAGGCUUCAUCUCCUUUGAAUUUGUCCCCGUGGCAUUGGAGAGUUCAGUACCCGAAAUUUCAUAGAGAUUGAAUUAGAAUAACAAAAUUGAUUUGUGGGGUCUAAUUUUGCUUGACGAAUUGAAAGUUUU